AGCAGUAGCCACGGGAAUACGAAGGGGGCUAGCGUUGCUCGGAAUGACUGGGCGUAAAGGGCGCGUAGGCGGCGAUCUAAGUCAGGCGUGAAAUUCCUGGGCUCAACCUGGGGGCUGCGCCUGAUACUUGGUUGCUUGAGUGGGGAAGAGGGUCGUGGAAUUCCCAGUGUAGAGGUGAAAUUCGUAGAUAUUGGGAAGAACACCGGUGGCGAAGGCGGCGACCUGGUCCUUGACUGACGCUGAGGCGCGAAAGCGUGGGGAGCAAACAGGAUUAGAUACCCCAGUAGUCCCUGUCUCUUAUAC
Molecule: ribosomal RNA, 303 nt
Filed under: uncultured bacterium
Lineage: Bacteria
Description: partial 16S ribosomal RNA
Rfam family: Bacterial small subunit ribosomal RNA
Source: RNAcentral